RNAcentral lists this ribosomal RNA (665 nucleotides) under uncultured bacterium. Its description in RNAcentral is "bacterial SSU rRNA". It matches the Rfam family "Bacterial small subunit ribosomal RNA", at positions 56 to 746 of the family's 1533-position model. The record is from RNAcentral.
UGCAGUCGACUUGAGUCUUCGGACUUGGGUGGCGCACGGGUGAGUAACGCGUAAAGAACUUGCCUCUUAGACCGGGACAACAUCUGGAAACGGAUGCUAAUACCGGAUAUUAUGGUUUUUUCGCAUGGAGGAAUCAUGAAAGCUAGAUGCGCUAAGAGAGAGCUUUGCGUCCCAUUAGCUCGUUGGUGAGGUAACGGCCCACCAAGGCAAUGAUGGGUAGCCGGCCUGAGAGGGUGAACGGCCACAAGGGGACUGAGACACGGCCCUUACUCCUACGGGAGGCAGCAGUGGGGAAUAUUGGACAAUGGACCACAAGUCUGAUCCAGCAAUUCUGUGUGCACGAUGACGUUUUUCGGAAUGUAAAGUGCUUUCAGUCGGGAAGAAGUCAGUGACGGUACCGACAGAAGAAGCGACGGCUAAAUACGUGCCAGCAGCCGCGGUAAUACGUAUGUCGCAAGCGUUAUCCGGAUUUAUUGGGCGUAAAGCGCGUCUAGGCGGCAAGGAAAGUCUGAUGUGAAAAUGCGGAGCUCAACUCCGUAUGGCGUUGGAAACUGCCUUACUAGAGUACUGGAGAGGUAGGCGGAACUACAAGUGUAGAGGUGAAAUUCGUAGAUAUUUGUAGGAAUGCUGAUGGGGAAGCCAGCCUACUGGACAGAUACUGACGC